UGCCUACGGGGGGCAGCAGUGGGGAAUAUUGCACAAUGGGGGGAACCCUGAUGCAGCGACGCCGCGUGAGUGAAGAAGUAUUUCGGUAUGUAAAGCUCUAUCAGCAGGGAAGAUAAUGACGGUACCUGACUAAGAAGCCCCGGCUAACUACGUGCCAGCAGCCGCGGUAAUACGUAGGGGGCAAGCGUUAUCCGGAUUUACUGGGUGUAAAGGGAGCGUAGACGGCAUUGCAAGUCUGAUGUGAAAGAUUGGGGCUCAACCCCAGGCCUGCAUUGGAAACUGUAAAGCUGGAGUACAGGAGAGGG
This 305-nucleotide ribosomal RNA is filed under the name uncultured bacterium. Its description in RNAcentral is "bacterial SSU rRNA". It matches the Rfam family "Bacterial small subunit ribosomal RNA", at positions 335 to 658 of the family's 1533-position model. The record is from RNAcentral.